This is a long non-coding RNA of Equus caballus (horse), 2261 nucleotides long. The record is from Ensembl. NCBI's taxonomy places the organism in Eukaryota, Metazoa, Chordata, Mammalia, Perissodactyla, Equidae.
CAGGGACUUCUGCGACCACCAUGUGUGACCUCCGGGAAUGUGUGGAAACUGGUCCCAGAGCCCAGUGAGCCGGCUAGGAAGGCGGCCUCUUCUGAGGACACACAAAUGGCUCCAGAGCCUGUUUCUGUCUCGGCAAAGUGACAUACUUCAUCAAAAUUAGAAGACUAAGCAUUUUUCUCCAGUAUUCGAAGUACUCAAUGUGUGGUCCAGCCACCCCUGGGGGUCUCCAACGUCCUUUCAAGGGGGUCGUGAAGUCAAAGCGAUUUUCAUGAAAACACUAAGACGCUGUUGUCUUCUUCACUCUCACUCUCUCUUGAGUCUACGACGGAAUUUUCCAGAGGUUACACAAAGAGUGGCAUCACGACAGAUUGAAUGCAGUGAUACGAGAAUCCAGCUGUUUUCUGUUAAGAUAGGCAUUAAAGAUACUUGAAAAACAUAAAACAAUGUUCCUCUUCUCCUUAAUCUUUUUUAUCUUGGAUAAUAUAGUUAUUUUGAUAAGAAGAUGUUAUUUAUAUUAACGUCUAAUGGUUUAUUAUUCUUAUUUCUAACUAAUAUUUUUCAAUCUCUUUGUUUUCAUUUCUAAAAUGAUAAAUAUUGAUAGCUAUAAUCUACGUGAACAAAAGAUCUGUGGGAUCCUCGAUAAUUGUUAAGAAUGUAAAAGAGGUCUGAGGCCGAAGUCUUUCAGGACCACAUUUCCCAGAAGGCCCUUCCCCUGGGUUUCUGGUCAGGGCAGGCCACAAGACAGGUUCUCUGGGGACGGAAGCGAAGCCGCAGGCGUUGGAGGCUCCCUCACGUCUCUUCUCUGUUGACUCACCUCACUGCGGGGAGGCUGUUCCAGGCCGGCUAUUGCACACAUUCCCCUGACUCCCUCCAGUUUCCCUGACUUCUGGGCCUGAGGUGCGUGUUUAGCUCGCUGAUGAAAGACAGGCUCUGGCUUCUGCAGGACUGGCACACCCCUAGGUCUGAGGCAACAAGAAUGGGCGUGCGUUUCAGGCUGCUCUCAUGGGCUCCAGCUGUGCCUGCAGGUUCCAGCUCCUGCCAGCUGCCCUCCACAUCAAUCCGCCGUCCCUUCCAGCUGCCUCCCUGUGGACCACGGGCUCCAGCAUCAUCCUAAAGACAAUUGCUUAGCCAGCUCCUACAACUGCACAGGGUCAAGACCCUGUAACACAUAUCUACAUAUAAUCUCCCAUAAUACACCAGGGCAGUGACUAGGAUGUGACGAAAGAUGGGACAAGAAAACCAGGCACGGAGACAGGAAGUCGUGGAUGGCGGUUACACUGAAAGAUAUAAUGAAUCUCCUCUUAGUGGUGAGAUGAUGCCUUUUCACUCUUGGGCUUCCGAGGUCAUCUUUUGUUCUGAAAGGCUGUGACAGCCAGAGGGUCCCUCUCGGAACUGCAUGCAUAAGGAGAGGUGCCAGGCGGAGCCCACGGGAAACAGCUCGGCUUGUCAUACCUGGAAGCACAUUUGCUAGCGGGCAUGAAAGUUGGUGAAAUGUCACUUCUGGUGUCAUUCUGGGCAUUUGUGCAGGACCGGCAGCCUCAGCCGGGAAUGAAUCGUUAGUGUGCGUGUGCCCAUUCUGCUUUCCAGCCAUUCCUUCCUUCACGUUGACUUCUGUUUUUCACGUCUUGGUUGAAUUGAGCGUCCUCCGUGUGAACAGCUCUGGGUUGAUCCUGUGAACACACUCACGUGCUCCUCUACUCGAGGAAUGUGUCAGUCAUCUAUCACUGCAUGAGAAAUUCCCCAAAACUUCGCAGCUGAAAGCAGCAAACAUUUAUUAACUCACAAAGCUUCUGAAAGUCAGAAAUCUUGGAGCGACUCAGCUGGGUCUUUCUGGCUCAGGAUCUCUCACGAGCUUUCAGUCAAGCAGUCAGCCAGGGCUGCAGUCGUCUGAAGCUGGACCGAGGCUGGAAGAUCUAGUUCUAAGGACUAGCCACUUCCAAGCUCAUUCUCAUGGCUCUUGACCAGAGGCCUCAUCAUGUAGCCUUCUCCACAGGGUGGCUGAUGACAUGGCAGCUGGCUUCCCCUGGAGAGAGUGAUCAGAAAAAGAGAGAGAAAGAGACUGAGCAGAACCACACUAUUGUCUCUUACAGCCUAACCUCAGAGGUGAUAUAACAUCACUCCUGCCAUAUUCUGCUGGUCACGCAGAACAAUCCUGGUACAACUGUGGGAGGUUGACCCUGCAAGGGCAUGAAUCCCAGAAGGUGGCAUCACUGGGGACCAUCCCGGAGGCUGGCUGUCAUAAGGAAACCAUCAUCUUAUAG